This 58-nucleotide non-coding RNA is filed under the name unclassified sequences. The record is from RNAcentral.
UCACAAGAGUUAGUCAAUGUGGCGAAGGUGUAUACCCAAGUCGGAACACUAAUGUUAA